CGUCUAUAUACGUAUAGCAUAUCAAUAAGCGGAGGAAAAGAAACUAACAAGGAUUCCCUUAGUAACGGCGAGUGAAGCGGGAAGAGCUCAAAUUUGAAAUCUUCAAGGUUCUACCUUGACGAAUUGUAGUUUAAAGAAGUGUUUUCUGUUGGAGUUUUGGUAAAAGUUCUUUGGAAUAGGACAUCAUAGAGGGUGAGAAUCCCGUAUUUGACCAUUAUCUUCCAACUUUGUGAUACACUUUCAAAGAGUCGGAUUGUUUGGGAAUGCAGUCCAAAAUGGGUGGUAAAUUUCAUCUAAAGCUAAAUAUUGGCGAGAGACCGAUAGCGAACAAGUACCGUGAGGGAAAGAUGAAAAGAACUUUGAAAAGAGAGUUAAACAGUACGUGAAAUUGUCAAAAGGGAAGCGUUUGACACCAGUGUUGUUUUUCCGAAAAUCAAUUACUAAUGUUUGGAUGUUAAGUAGUUAUGACUUCAUCGGCUUUGCUUCGUUUCUUACGACUUUCGUGAAUGCACUUUUCGGUUAACAAGUCAACAUCAAUUUCUUUUGUUGUAAAAGGGUAUGAGGAAGGUGGCUUUCUUUUCGGAGAAAGUGUUUAUAGCCUUGUGCCUCUGCAAUCGGAGAGAUUGAGGUCUGCAGCGUAGAUCCUUCGGGGUUAGAUACGUUUGUGCUAAGUUAUAGCUUUUCAUAGACAACUUGUUGACUAUGUUUAGUCUUGUAGCUUACUCGCUGACGCUAUUUUACCUACGCUUAGGAUGUUGACACACGCGCGUGCUCG
This 775-nucleotide ribosomal RNA is filed under the name uncultured Neocallimastigales. RNAcentral describes it as "partial large subunit ribosomal RNA". It matches the Rfam family "Eukaryotic large subunit ribosomal RNA", at positions 26 to 643 of the family's 3401-position model. The record is from RNAcentral. Lineage: Eukaryota; Fungi; Neocallimastigomycota; Neocallimastigomycetes; Neocallimastigales.